GCAGUCGCCACGGGAACACGAAGGGUGCAAGCGUUAAUCGGAAUUACUGGGCGUAAAGCGUGCGUAGGCGGUGAGUUAAGUCUGCUGUGGAAUCCCCGGGCUCAACCUGGGAAUGGCAGUGGAUACUGGCUCGCUAGAGUGUGUCAGAGGAUGGUGGAAUUCCCGGUGUAGCGGUGAAAUGCGCAGAGAUCGGGAUGAACAUCAGUGGCGAAGGCGGCCAUCUGGGACAACACUGACGCUGAGGCACGAAAGCGUGGGGAGCAAACAGGAUUAGAUACCCCCGUAGUCCCUGUCUCUUAUA
This 301-nucleotide ribosomal RNA is filed under the name uncultured bacterium. RNAcentral describes it as "partial 16S ribosomal RNA". It matches the Rfam family "Bacterial small subunit ribosomal RNA", at positions 508 to 808 of the family's 1533-position model. The record is from RNAcentral.